Molecule: ribosomal RNA, 460 nt
Filed under: uncultured bacterium
Lineage: Bacteria
Description: partial 16S ribosomal RNA
Rfam family: Bacterial small subunit ribosomal RNA
Source: RNAcentral
CCUACGGGAGGCAGCAGUGAGGAAUAUUGGUCAAUGGACGAGAGUCUGAACCAGCCAAGUAGCGUGAAGGAUGACUGCCCUAUGGGUUGUAAACUUCUUUUAUAAAGGAAUAAAACGAGGCACGUGUGCCUUUUUGCAUGUACUUUAUGAAUAAGGAUCGGCUAACUCCGUGCCAGCAGCCGCGGUAAUACGGAGGAUCCGGGCGUUAUCCGGAUUUAUUGGGUUUAAAGGGAGCGUAGAUGGGUUGUUAAGUCAGUUGUGAAAGUUUGCGGCUCAACCGUAAAAUUGCAAGUGAUACUGGCAGUCUUGAGUACAGUUGAGGUAGGCGGAAUUCGUGGUGUAGCGGUGAAAUGCUUAGAUAUCACGAAGAACCCCGAUUGCGAAGGCAGCUUACGAAACUGUGACUGACAUUGAUGCUCGAAGGUGUGGGUAUCAAACAGGAUUAGAUACCCUAGUAGUC